RNAcentral lists this non-coding RNA (75 nucleotides) under bovine gut metagenome. RNAcentral's name for it is "ZMP/ZTP riboswitch". It matches the Rfam family "ZMP/ZTP riboswitch aptamer (pfl RNA motif)", at positions 7 to 83 of the family's 86-position model. From Rfam's summary of the family: Previously known as pfl RNA. ZMP is also known as AICAR. The record is from RNAcentral.
CUCCGUGACUGACGGAUAAAUGUGGAGCACCACAGGGAAGCGGAGGCCGUUUGGAAGCCGACCGUCUGGGCGUAC